Molecule: ribosomal RNA, 397 nt
Filed under: uncultured bacterium
Lineage: Bacteria
Description: bacterial SSU rRNA
Rfam family: Bacterial small subunit ribosomal RNA
Source: RNAcentral
GACGAACGCUGGCGGCGUGCUUAACACAUGCAAGUCGAGCGGUAAGGCCCUUUCGGGGGUACACGAGCGGCGAACGGGUGAGUAACACGUGGGUGACCUGCCCUCAGCUCUGGGAUAAGCCUGGGAAACUGGGUCUAAUACUGGAUAUGACUCCACGGUGCAUGUCGUGGGGUGGAAAGCCUUGUGCGGCUGAGGAUGGGCCCGCGGCCUAUCAGCUUGUUGGUGGGGUGANGGCCUACCAAGGCGACGACGGGUAGCCGGCCUGAGAGGGCGACCGGCCACACUGGGACUGAGACACGGCCCAGACUCCUACGGGAGGCAGCAGUGGGGAAUCUUGCGCAAUGGGCGAAAGCCUGACGCAGCGACGCCGCGUGAGGGAUGACGGCCUCGGUGUAAG